Long non-coding RNA from Oncorhynchus tshawytscha (Chinook salmon), 558 nucleotides. The record is from Ensembl. Lineage: Eukaryota; Metazoa; Chordata; Actinopteri; Salmoniformes; Salmonidae.
GUGGUCAGAGGUUGGUGAGUAGUUAGUAGUGGUCAGUGGUUGCUGGUUGGUGAGUAGUUAGUAGUGGUCAGUGGUUGGUGAGUAGUUAGUAGGGGUCAGUGAUUGGUGAGUAUUUAGUAGGGGUCAGUGGUUGGUGAGUAUUUAGUAGUGGUCAGAGGUUGGUGAGUAGUUAGAAGUGGUCAGUUGUCAGUGGUGGUGAGUAGUUAGAAGUGGUCAGAGGUUGGUGAGUAGUUAGUAGUGUUCAGUGGUUGGUGAGUAGUUAGUAGUGGUCAGUGGGCGUGGUUGGUGAGUAGUUAGUAGUGGUCAGAGGUUGGUGAGUAGUUAGUAGGGGUCAGUGGUUGGUGAGUAGUUAGUAGUGGUCAGUGGUUGGUGAGUAGUUAGUAGUGGUCAGAGGUUGGUGAGUAGUUAGUAGUGGUCAGUGGUUGGUGAGUAGUUAGUAGUGGCCAGUGGUUGGUGAGUAGUUAGUAGGGGUCAGUGGUUGCUGGUUGGUGAGUAGUUAGUAGUGGUCAGUGGUUGCUGGUUGGUGAGUAGUUAGUAGUGGUCAGUGGUUGCUGGUUG